This 24-nucleotide microRNA is filed under the name Brugia malayi. RNAcentral describes it as "bma-miR-9513-5p". The record is from miRBase by way of RNAcentral. Lineage: Eukaryota; Metazoa; Nematoda; Chromadorea; Rhabditida; Onchocercidae.
UGGUAAGUCGAGCUCGACCGAUUU